GAUGAAGAACGUAGCAAAAUGCGAUACUUGGUGUGAAUUGCAGAAUCCCGUUAACCAUCGAGUUUUUGAACGCAAGUUGCGCCCGAAGCCUUUUGGCCGAGGGCACGUCUGCCUGGGCGUCACGCAUCGCGUCGCCCCCCACAAUUCUCCGUAAAGGGAACGUGUGUUUUGGGGGCGGAUAUUGGUCUCCCGUGCUCAUGGCGUGGUUGGCCGAAAUAGGAGUCCUUUCGAUGGACGCACGAACUAGUGGUGGUCGUAAAAACCCUCGUCUUUUGUUUCGUGCUGUUGCUCGCAAGGUAAACUCUUUAAAAACCCCAAUGUGUCGUCUCUUGACGACGCUUCGACCGCGACCCCAGGUCAGGCGGGACUACCCGCUGAGUUUAAGCAUAUCAAUAAGCGGAGGA
This 404-nucleotide unclassified non-coding RNA is filed under the name soil metagenome. RNAcentral describes it as "partial contains 5.8S ribosomal RNA, internal transcribed spacer 2, and large subunit ribosomal RNA". The stretch from base 1 to 122 matches the Rfam family "5.8S ribosomal RNA", at positions 35 to 154 of the family's 154-position model. The record is from RNAcentral.